GCGCUUGCAACCAGACUUGAGCGCGGCGGUUCCCCCUUCCUUUUGGUUGGGUUACUCCGUCGUGUCCAGGCCAACAUCGGUUCUAGGGGUCGGUUAAAGGCUUAGGGAAUGUACCUACUCCUUCGGGGGUAGACUUAUAGCCCUAGGUGUCAUGCGACCUCCCGGGACCGAGGAACGCGCUUCGGCUCGGAUGUUGGCGUAAUGGUUGUAAGCGACCCGUCUUGAAACACGGACCAAGGAGUC
This 243-nucleotide ribosomal RNA is filed under the name Exophiala nishimurae. RNAcentral's name for it is "partial large subunit ribosomal RNA". It matches the Rfam family "Eukaryotic large subunit ribosomal RNA", at positions 419 to 675 of the family's 3401-position model. The record is from RNAcentral. Lineage: Eukaryota; Fungi; Ascomycota; Eurotiomycetes; Chaetothyriales; Herpotrichiellaceae.